Molecule: non-coding RNA, 1492 nt
Organism: Nerophis lumbriciformis (worm pipefish)
Lineage: Eukaryota; Metazoa; Chordata; Actinopteri; Syngnathiformes; Syngnathidae
Source: RefSeq, a predicted model, not a curated record
UUUAACUUUAACUUUAAUAUAUAAAUGUAUAUGUAUGUAAAUAUAUAUAUGUAUUUAUAUGUAUAUAUGUUUUUAUACCCUUCAACAACUUAAGUAAGUAUAUGUCCUGUUUGAAUUUGAAGAUAAUUAAAAUCAGUUGUCCUUAGAGUAAUGUCCAAAAAUCCAAUAUUGUCGGCGUAAUAACAACGAUACAGUAGUACAUACACUGAACUAAAUCGCAAAAUGGACAACAUCUCGGAGAACCUUUCUGCUCUGCAAAAUUAUGAUCCGUUUGAGGACCAGGAACGGACAAUUAGCGUAGACAAGCAUCGUAAUCUGCAUUUCGACAUAGCAAAACAUGCAAUAUAACUUGAAUUUUUUGCCUUGUACUUUUUAAUGCUGAGGAAAACCCAUGAAACAAAUCACAUGUUGACUUUUAAUACAGCUUUUCGCCACUGGGGGCAGAAGUGAGUCUUUCACUGUAGGUUUUCUCGCCGCCUCCUGCUGGUGUCCAUGGAGCAUUACACGGUACCGGUGAUUAAAGACGACCUGCAGUGGGAAAAGUCUGAGAAAUAGUCUAUUUUUAUCGCCGGGUCUCUGAGGUGAUGAACGUCCAAUCCUGGCAGCUGAGGCGGCGCCAUCAUUUAAACCCGCCGAUGUGAACGUCUGGGCUGCCAGCUGCUCCCCCCAAACUGAUAAAUACGCUGCCGUGCAGAACGCAAACCUUCAUUAUCACCGAUUGUGUGGUUUCCGGGGUUUCGGUACUUAUCAUUAAGUACACCCGCACCUUUGAAUUAAUACAAGAAACCUCCCUUUUUUUUUUUUUUUGUCUCAGCGCGAAGGUGUGAUGAAUUACAGCGAGCACGUAGCCUAAGCGCCACUGUAAUGUGCUCGUAAAUCUGGCGACAGGAGUACGGCGGCGAUAAAGAGAUGAAGAGUAACAGCUAUAACUUUUUAACUUGCUGGAAUAACUCAGCCCGAAGACACGUUUAAAUUGUGUUUUUCUUCUUCCGCUGCGAAAAAAAUAAAAAUAAUGAGCCACAGCUGGAUUGGAUUGCAGCGAGGGGACGUUGAUCAGCAUUUUUAGGGAGAUAAAGGGGGCAAUAACAUCGCUUUGUGUUGUAAGGGUGAGACUGGGGGAGCCUGCGUGCUUAAUCAUUGUUAUUUCUUUAAAAGAUAGGAAGGACUUGAGCAGAAAACGACGACGACUCUACUUUGGAGGAAGUAUUACGUUCUUGUUGCCAUGGUGAUGAAUUCAAAGUCAAUAAGCACUCACGCAGUUCGGGAAGAGAACCAACAAGAAGGGGCAGGAGUACACUGACGCGCACGACCAAGACCACAGCAUUCCAUUUCUAUUGUAUUAUAAUUAUCACUAAUAAAGAAUUAUUGUUGAAUUUUCUGUUUGAGUGUCAGUCCUGACAAGAUAGAUAGCACAAAAACAGACGUAAAUACCACUGCAUUCCAUUUCUAUUGUAUUAUAAUUAUCACUAAUAAAGAAUUAUUGUUGAAUUUU